CUGUCAGCAUUUGAGACUGCCCACUACUACGUCCUCCGUCUUCUAUAUAUAGAAGAUAGGAGACGGAGGACACCUAGCAACGCUGUUUUAGCGGCACCACUGAAAUGCCUGGGGGAGGAAAGAACAUGCUGCAACUACUAGGUGAUUCA
This is a long non-coding RNA of Bufo bufo (common toad), 149 nucleotides long. RefSeq lists it as uncharacterized. The record is from RefSeq and is a predicted model, not a curated record. The transcript is spliced from 3 exons. NCBI's taxonomy places the organism in Eukaryota, Metazoa, Chordata, Amphibia, Anura, Bufonidae.